Molecule: transfer RNA, 64 nt
Filed under: Staphylinidae sp. BMNH 1274246
Lineage: Eukaryota; Metazoa; Arthropoda; Insecta; Coleoptera; Staphylinidae
Description: tRNA-Leu
Source: RNAcentral
AUUAUUUUGGCAGAUUAGUGCAUUAAAUUUAGAAUUUAAGAAUAUAGUAAUACUAUAAAUAAUA